AAGCUCACUAGAAGGAGAGAAACAAAACAAGCAGAUCAGUGAGCUGCAAAAAUGGCUUAAACCUUUUACCCAAACUGAAUACUAUUUCUUUCAUGAAAGUCUGCAAAAUAGUUUUUGGAUAAACGUUUGCUCCUAUCUAAAAAAAAUCUGAUUUUAAAUAUACUUAAUUGAAACUUUAUGCUCUGUUCUAGUCAUUCAGUAAGAAGUUCAAUUGCCAAGCCAGCUUGAAUAGAGAAAUAGGAAUUUAAGUGCAGUGAAAUAACUUCCUGAAUAUCAAAGUAAGCAAACUCUACAGUAACAUCGCAAAAUGGCUUCUGUUUUCACACUCAGAACUCUCAGCCCAAAAGGUCAAAGAAACGAGUCACCCUCUCAUCCUUACGGGUUCCUCAAAAACAAGGUUAAAGCAUGUUGGUGAGGCAAAGAAAUGUGCACUGUUGAGUGACAGAUGUAUCAACCCCGCGCUGGGCCAACGGGGGCUGACCAAUCAUUGUGGGCCCAGGAAAUGACACCCCCGCACCCCAACUGCACAUGGUCCAGGUGAAGGGGACAGAUAAAAGGAGGCCGCUCAGCUCAGUCUGUGCUGGUGGAAGAGGAGGAAGGAUGUGUGCUGCAGGCUCCUGCAGAGGAACCAUCAACUGGAUUAUGCUGUGGAUGACCAGCUGACUGCAGAGAUGGCUGGCAGCAGCUUGACAAGGAGGUGCCCGAAAUGGGCUUUAUGGUAGGAACUGACCCAGGGAAUCUGUUAGGACAGAGGGGGGCAAACUAACGCCUGCAAGCCACAUCCGGUGAAGUAUGGUAGGUGUGGGUCCCCCUGCCCCACACUUGCCACUAGAUGUGACUACCGGGGUCUCCUGAUAUAAACUGAGUCUUUGCUCUGCCUCACCCAGGGGCUACAGACUGAUUGUUUGUUCUGCCCUAACAGGGAAUCCUGACAACCAUGUGACUGGGUGUGUCAACCCCACAUUGAGCAAACAGGCACAGCUCCCACUCAACAUGCCAAGCCCUCGUGACAUGCUGUGUGUCACCAGUUCUGUUACUAUCAAAAUUUACCACCACCUAAAGCAGCGUUUCCUCAACCCGAGGGUUGGGACCCAAAAUUGAGUCACCAGAAUGUUUCAAAGGGUUGUGUGGCAGUUCCUGUCCCAUAGGGCUGGCAGGGCUCACCACUCUGCUCCAGGCAUUGCAACCUCUGGGGUCCCAGUGCCACUCAGGUUUGGCCCAGCCUUCCUGAUGACGGGAGUCUGAGUAGGCCAUAUUUGAGUGAGUGGCCCUGAAACCCCAUGAGCCAGGUCACAACUCUACUCUCUCAAAUUUGGUCCAGUCGGGGGUGUGGCUGAACCUGAGUGGCGCUGCAACCCCAGAGGUUGCAAUGCCUAGAGCGCAGAGCUAAGCCCAGCCAAACCCACAGCAGCUGUAGGAGCUGCCACCAUGGGGUGAGUACCAGGCAGGACUCAACCCUCCUCCCCCAGGGUGCAGGAUCCAACUUAAGCCACCCUAGCCAUAAACAUUUACAAAUGGGUCCUGAGCCCAAAAAGGUUGAGAACCGUUGGCCUAGAGGUCCCAACCACGAUCAGAUCCUCAUUCUGCUAAGCAGUGCAUAUACAUGUAGUAAACAGGGACAAUCUACAACCUAAGUAGAUAAGACAAAAAAUAUUAUCCCCAUUUUACAGAUUGCAAAUUGUGGCAUAGAGAUUAAGGUUUUGUCUACACAAUUUGCACUGGUAUAACUGAGGAAGUACAUUUAAACCCGCGUAGUUAAAUCAGUACAUGUUAAGCUUGCCUUUGCAUUAAGUAAAAAGGAGUACUUGUGGCACCUUAGACUAACAAAUUUAUUUGAGCACAAGCUUUCAUGAGCUACAGCCCACUUCAUCGGAUGCAUGCAGUGGAAAAUACAGGGGGAGAUUUUAUAUACACAGAGA
Molecule: long non-coding RNA, 1919 nt
Organism: Dermochelys coriacea (leatherback sea turtle)
Lineage: Eukaryota; Metazoa; Chordata; Testudines; Dermochelyidae
Exons: 3
Source: RefSeq, a predicted model, not a curated record